This 508-nucleotide small RNA is filed under the name Pan troglodytes (chimpanzee). RNAcentral's name for it is "retained intron". The record is from RNAcentral. Lineage: Eukaryota; Metazoa; Chordata; Mammalia; Primates; Hominidae.
CUGCUGGAUGGAUUAAAAAGUGGAACCACUAUUGCACUGAAGGUUGGAUGCCUACAGCUGAUCAAUGCUCUCAUCACACCAGCGGAGGAACUUGACUUCCGAGUUCACAUCAGAAGUGAACUGAUGCGUUUGGGGCUACAUCAGGUGUUGCAGGACCUUCGAGAGAUUGAAAAUGAAGAUAUGAGAGUGCAACUAAAUGUGUUUGAUGAACAAGGGGAAGAGGAUUCCUAUGACCUGAAGGGACGGCUGGAUGACAUUCGCAUGGAGAUGGAAUAUCCUUUUGCUGACUAGGUUCAAGGCAGAUGAGACAUUCAUUGUAUUUAGUUCCCUGAUCCCUGUGUGGAAUGGUUUGGGAGAUGAUGACUCAGAACAGAGCAUCAGGCUUAUGUGUCUUCUCAUUAAAUAAGGCAGGUGUAUUUUUAUUGCGCUGGCUUUACUUACCUUAUCAUAGAUCAGGGAAGUCAGUAAAGGUGAUCUGAGGGUUGUUGAGCAUGGAAGCCAUCAAAAU